GACGAACGCUGGCGGCGUGCUUAACACAUGCAAGUCGAACGGAAAGGCCCAGCUUGCUGGGUGCUCGAGUGGCGAACGGGUGAGUCACACGUGUGUGAUCGGACCCUAACUUCGGGAUAAGCUUGGGAAACUGGGUCUAAUAUCGGAUAGGACAAUCGUUUAGUGUCGGUUGUGGAAAGUUGUUUCGGUUAGGGAUGAGCCUGCGGCCUAUCAGCUUGGUGGAGUGGUAAUGGCCCACCAAGGCGUCGACGGGUGGCCGGCCUGGUAGGGUAGCCUGCCACGUUACGACUGAGCUACGACCCAGACUCCAACGCGACGCAACGGUGGGGAAGAGUACACAGUGGGCGCAGGCCUAGUGCAGCGACGCCGCGUGGGGGAUGACAGCCUUCGGGUUGGAUUGCUCUUUCGACAGAGACGAAGCUUUAAUGACGGUACCUGGAGAAGAAGCACCGGCUAACUACGUG
Molecule: ribosomal RNA, 464 nt
Filed under: uncultured bacterium
Lineage: Bacteria
Description: partial 16S ribosomal RNA
Rfam family: Bacterial small subunit ribosomal RNA
Source: RNAcentral